GCUAUAUACUAUACAGUAUAAUACUAUAAUCUACGUAUACAAACGUGCUUGAUUAUUGUUUAAUCAAAGCAUUCAAUUCGGUGGGUGGUGAUGCAUGGCCGUUCUUAGUUGGUGGAGUGAUUAUUCUGGUUAAUUCUGAUGAGGAACGAGACUUUAUUCUGCUAAAUAGGAGACUGUUCCUCUAUCCUCAUUUCGGGUGCGGCUUCUAUUGCUUCUUUAUGGAGUGGUGUGGUCUUGAUGCGCCUGGUGCAGUGACAGUUUUUACUUCUUAGAAGGACAAGCGGCACACUUAUAUCGCACAGAAUUGAGCAAUAACAGGUCUGUGAUGCCCUUAGAUGUCCGGGGCCACACGUGCUCUACAAUGACGGUGCUAGCGAGUCUGGAAACCUGGCCCGAAAGGGUUGGGCAAACUGUUUCAUCACCAUCGUGACUGGAAUCGAGGCUUGCAAUUAUUCCCCGUGAACGAGGAAUUCCUGGUAAGUGCAAGUCAUAAGCUUGCGCUGAUCAC
Schistosoma mansoni is the source of this 508-nucleotide ribosomal RNA. It matches the Rfam family "Eukaryotic small subunit ribosomal RNA", at positions 1173 to 1648 of the family's 1831-position model. NCBI's taxonomy places the organism in Eukaryota, Metazoa, Platyhelminthes, Trematoda, Strigeidida, Schistosomatidae. The record is from Rfam.